RNAcentral lists this long non-coding RNA (431 nucleotides) under Calidris pugnax (ruff). RNAcentral's name for it is "lncRNA (ENSCPUG00000014242.1)". Lineage: Eukaryota; Metazoa; Chordata; Aves; Charadriiformes; Scolopacidae. The record is from RNAcentral.
GCAUAAAAUUGAUUUCAUUUGUAAGAAAAAAAUGGGUCAAGAAUCAUAUGCAUCCAAAAUAACCAUUUGUAGGAAAGCUCUUCCUGUUCUGGAUUGAAAAAAGAAAAAAAACCCUGCAGUCAUUCGCUAUGGUACUGUGACAGAAGAGUAUUGAAAAAGCUCCAGACAAGCUAAGGAGGAGCUGCAAAGCUAGAUUUUCAGUGGUCCAUGUUUCAAAUUGGAUUUUGCAAACAGUUUUGUACACUGAGUAAACCUGGAGUAGCAAGGGAAAAAAACCGUAGGAGAUGUGCUCCCUCCACGAGGCAACAGGCCCUUCCACUACGAACAAGCAAAAAGGUCAAGAGCUGUUCAGUAAUAGAGGCUUGAUAUAAAUGUAAGAAGACGUUGCCAUCUCCAGUGUCUCAAAAGAGUGAUGUAAUCUUAUGCUCAGC